This 497-nucleotide ribosomal RNA is filed under the name uncultured bacterium. Its description in RNAcentral is "partial 16S ribosomal RNA". It matches the Rfam family "Bacterial small subunit ribosomal RNA", at positions 28 to 507 of the family's 1533-position model. The record is from RNAcentral.
GACGAACGCUGGCGGCGUGCCUAAUACAUGCAAGUUGAGCGCUGAAGGUUGGUACUUGUACCAACUGGAUGAGCAGCGAACGGGUGAGUAACGCGUGGGGAAUCUGCCUUUGAGCGGGGGACAACAUUUGGAAACGAAUGCUAAUACCGCAUAAAAACUUUAAACACAAGUUUUAAGUUUGAAAGAUGCAAUUGCAUCACUCAAAGAUGAUCCCGCGUUGUAUUAGCUAGUUGGUGAGGUAAAGGCUCACCAAGGCGAUGAUACAUAGCCGACCUGAGAGGGUGAUCGGCCACAUUGGGACUGAGACACGGCCCAAACCCCUACGGGAGGCAGCAGUAGGGGAUCUUCGGGAAUGGCCGAAAGUCUGAACGAGCAACGCCGGGUGAGUGAAGAAGGGUGUCGGAUCGUAAAACUCUGUUGGUAGAGAAGAACGUUGGUGAGAGUGGAAAGCGCAUCAAGUGACGGUAACUACCCAGAAAGGGACGGCUAACUACGUG